CUUGGCGGCCAUAGCGUUCGUGAACCACCCGAUCCCAUCCCGAACUCGGAAGUGAAACCGUUCUGCGCCGAUGAUAGUGUGGGGUCUCCCCAUGUGAGAGUAGGACAUUGCUAGGC
Molecule: ribosomal RNA, 116 nt
Filed under: Gammaproteobacteria bacterium
Lineage: Bacteria; Pseudomonadati; Pseudomonadota; Gammaproteobacteria
Source: RNAcentral